Molecule: ribosomal RNA, 440 nt
Filed under: uncultured bacterium
Lineage: Bacteria
Description: partial 16S ribosomal RNA
Rfam family: Bacterial small subunit ribosomal RNA
Source: RNAcentral
CCUACGGGAGACAGCAGUAGGGAAUAUUGCUCAAUGGGGGAAACCCUGAAGCAGCAACGCCGCGUGGAGGAUGAAGGUUUUCGGAUUGUAAACUCCUGUUGUUAGAGAAGAGAAUGACGGUAUCUAACGAAUAAGCACCGGCGAACUCCGUGCCAGCAGCCGCGGUAAUACGGAGGGUGCAAGCGUUAGUCGGAAUCACUGGGCGUACAGAGAGCGUAGGCGGGAUCGCAAGUCAGAUGUGAAAUCCUAUGGCUUAACCAUAGAACUGCAUUUGAAACUGUUAUUCUAGAGUAUGGGAGAGGUAGGUGGAAUUCUUGGUGUAGCGGUCAAAUCCGUAGAGAUCACGAGGAAUACUCAUUGCGAAGGCGACCUGCUAGAUCAUACCUGACGCUGAUGCGCGAAAGCGUGGGGAGCAAACAGGAUUAGAUACCCUUGUAGUC